AUACGGAGGAUCCGAGCGUUAUCCGGAUUUAUUGGGUUUAAAGGGUGCGCAGGCGGCCAUUUAAGUCAGCGGUUAAAUCGUGGGGCUCAACCCCAUUCUGCCGUUGAUACUGGGUGGCUUGAUUGCGGUCGAGGUUGGCGGAAUUCGUUGUGUAGCGGUGAAAUGCAUAGAUAUGACGAAGAACACCGAUUGCGUAGGCAGCUGACCAGACCGCAAAUGACGCUCAUGCACGAAAGUGCGGGGAUCGAACAGGAUUAGAUACCCUGGUAGUCCGCACAGUAAACGAUGAAUACUUGUUCUCGGCGAUAUAAUGUCGGAGGCAAAGCGAAAGCGAUAAGUAUUCCACCUGGGGAGUACGCCGGCAACGGUGAAACUCAAAGGAAUUGGCGGGG
This 392-nucleotide ribosomal RNA is filed under the name uncultured bacterium. RNAcentral describes it as "partial 16S ribosomal RNA". It matches the Rfam family "Bacterial small subunit ribosomal RNA", at positions 523 to 918 of the family's 1533-position model. The record is from RNAcentral.